CCUGACCGUUGCCGACUUCUUCUUGUAGAGUCUGAAACUGGAGCUAUAUGUUUUAGCUGUAACCCCUGUUUAAAUAUAUCAUUUCUUAAUGAAAGUACAGGCUAAUGAGAAAGUUAAGUUAUAUUCUAGGGAUGUUACAAAUUAAUCAGAACAGUAGAUCUACACCACAAGUUGGCCAAAAAUCUAGCUGAGCACCUGAACAUGGUCUAAGCCAACACCAGCUUGCACUAGAAAAUAAAACUCAAUCUUCUGGAGACAAAGCUCUAGUUCAUUACCCAAUCCUAAGACCUAUCGCUGUAUCUUCCUCUCUCAUCUCCAGCUUCAGAGAAACAUGCCAUGAAGUUGCAAGCUGUCAGCAAACUUUUACCUUCACUUUUACCUUGUGCUGAGCAUUUAAUUCAAAUGCCAGUGGAAGCUUUUAAUCAACAACAGCACUGAUGUUGUAUGUAGAAAAACUUUUAUUUUUAAUAACACAUAAAGAGAGGACUGAGAGCAAAGCCAUUGAUUCCCUACAACAGAACAGUAUGCCUGUUUUACAAGUGUAUAAUUUCUGCUUGGUAAAAAUUUGAGGUGAGGGAAUACAAGCAGACAAGUCCCAGGUAACCAGAAGGGAGAACUACACACAAAAGACAGGUCUAAUAUUCAGAAUACCUGCAGACAUUAACAAUGUAAGCCUGUCACUAAUCAUAGUUUGUAAUGAACAGUGGCAAUGGGGUUCUUGGAAAUUGGACGGACUCACAUAGCUUGUUAUUUUAAAUAAAUACCAUAAUCGGUAUGAAAUCCCAGCAAAUAAAAUAUGGAAAACAAUAUGAACUACCAGUCUUUUAUGGGACAGAAAGAAUUAUCCAUAGCUAUCCAAAGGCUAGUUUGGCUUUCAUAUACUCAUAUUUGAACUUUACAUCAUCUUGCCUCCAACUCUUUGCAAACACAGGUUUUGUUAGUAGUGUUUAAACUAACUGCAGGUAUUCUAGGUUUAGAUUGUGUGGGAUGGAAAGAAAUACUAGCCUUGUACUUAAAAGGAGAGAGAAAAAGUAGAUUUAUAUUGAUACCAGGAGAACAAGGUGAGGAAGCAUUCAUAAGCAAUGGCAUUAUGAAAUUCUUAAUAUCAAAUUCUAGAGAGGAGAACUAUGGAUUCUUACAACAGACAGACCCAGCCCUGAUCCUGCAAGGAAAAUAUGGUUGAUCUCACCUGCAGGAGAAGGCUGAGAAGGCUCUGCAGGAGCUACCCCCACACACAGGCCAAUAUCCUACAGCUGUAUGCUGUGUACAGAGCCAGAGUAUUCCAAGGUGUACCUGGAGACUCCUGUAUUAUGGCAGUGUCCUUACUGCUUGUCCUGGCAUCACACCUAAUGCCCUGCAGGAGAAGCAGGGAACAUUGGGAAGCCUGGCUGCUGCCACUCACCCCCUCUGACAGGUCACCACCAUUCUUUGUUCACUUUCCCCACUUACAAAAUUAGAAUUAUGAUUUCUCCUUUGAACACUUUCAGCCCCUUUGAUGGCAGUUGCUACAAUUACAUUAUUAUUUCAGGAUAUUGGAUAAGCCUCACUGCUCUGUGGUGGAGUGUGCAGGUGAGUAAUUUGUCCAUUUUAUAGACAAACUAAGAUAUCAAGAUGCUAAUACAGUAAAUUGGCAUGAGAAUGGAAAAAAAUGGAUGAUUAAUUUUCAAUUUCCUCCCUUAGCAGCUACCAAAUGCUCAUGGGAGUGCAGAGGGCCCAUCCUAAGAGCUGCCUUAAAUUUUUUAAAUGUAGUCACUCAUUUUGAAGAAAAUUACAAUACUUCUCCACUAAACACUGUGUGCAUUUUCAACUUCUAAAACUGACAUCUGCUCCAGUGCUUCACAGAGGCCUGCCAACAGCUGGCAGUGAGCUGGCUGCUACCUCUGCCAAAGAGGAUUAAUGCCGAAUAAUGCUGACUGGAGGUAGAAGCCCUAAUUCUAUUUCUAGCUGCACUAGUACAAAGCCAGAGCAAGUAAUGUUGUCUACAAAAGAUGGGUGCAAUGGUGUAAAAGGAUUGCAGUUGGAGAGUAUCAGGCUCAGAGGAAUUUCUGGUGUAUUUUUUUCAAGGACAUACGUGUUCAGAAAUUAAAGGAAAUGUUAAAUUUUAUAUAAAUAUUUCCAGUAAUCUUAGCAGGCAUGAAUAAGUGUAAAUAGGACACAUUUGGAUUUGUUUAAAAGUUACCCAAAAACGUUAUUUGCAAUCUGUAAGGUAAAAUGCCCUUAAGUGUUAUGGGUAGCAUGUGAUUUUGUUAGCUGCAAAACAGCCAAAAUAUAUUGCCAUCCAAAAUCCCUUUUUUCCGCCCUCUAACAAAAGCUGUUCUAGCCCCUUAUACUGGAAUAGUUGCAGUAGGAAAGGCUCUCUAAGGGGUUUAUUUGGAUUUUGUGGGUUCUUUUUGUUUGUUUUUACAGAAGAUGUUUCCCAGUCUACUGUGUAUCAUUUGCCUUUAGGCAACCAAAACUCAGCCGCACAAACCCUUCCAAAGGGUGAGGAGGACAGCAGGACACAGGCAGGCACGGCACUCCCAGGGGUCUGAGUGGGUCACCCCAGCUCCCCUGUCAUGUUCAGACCACAGAGCAUUGUCCUGCCCCAUAUAAGUGUCUCUGUUACACAGAGGAGCUGUACCAGGAGCAGGCAUGGGGCUGGAACGACCAGUCCAGCAGCUGAUGAGGUCAGCAUUUACAAUCAUCUGGACCACACUAUCCCACAGCACCUUUCUGGAGAAUUUUAAGGACAACACUGCUUUCUGAACUUACUGAGACUUAAUUGUCUUUCCCUGAAUUGCUCCAAAUUGAGAAUUUGUCUUCAGCAUACCCUGGACAGUUGGGAGAAGUUGUACACCUGGCCAAGUGUUUCUCUGACCUUCAUCCUUCCCUAGGGCAGGACGAGGUACCCAUAGCAAUGCUGACUCUGUGGGUGAGACUGGGACUGCUUGUAUGGCCACCAGGUUAGGAAUUCAGGCUGUUUGUCAGACACACAACAGGGGAGAAACUGCCUAUGGGCUGAGAUUGCAGACAGGGACUGCAGUUUCAUCCUGUCUGUGCUCUCUGCUGAGGAGGCGGCCAUCCUUUGGUAAGCCAGUUUUUGGGACAAAGCAGAACCAGCUGAGUGUCAGUCUGGACCUGGAGAGGCAGACUGACUUGCUUGUAGACAAGCAAAUGGUUUGGUGGUACUUCUCUGGGACCCUUCCCUACUGGUAAACUAAACCUGAACACUUUAUUUUUUCAGUCUCUUCUCACUGGUCAGUGGUGGGCUCAAGGAGAGGGCAGGUUCUGUGACAGAACAGGACAGGCUCCCUGACACUGAAUUUCAUCUGAACCUGGCAGCACAGCCUCACAGACCUGCCACAAACAUGCUGAUCCCAGCACCCUGAGCAGCUACCACGAGGACAGUGUGUGGGAUGUGAAACUUUGUCUUCCCCACCCCAAAUAUUUUCAGUAUCAGGAAAUUAAUAAAAAUGAGUACAAUAAAGGAAUACACAAAGGACUACAAAUAUCCCCUUUGUUGUAUCUGAUUUGGACCUGGAGAGUUUCCCAGCUUCAGUCUAGCCACUUGAUAAUCUGAAGUGGGGAAUGCUACAUAAAUUACUCAUUAUUCCCACCAGAUGAGCUGUCAAAGGCUGCGGAAGCCAGUUCAUGUUCACCUUGCUUCUCUCUGUUUUCUCUCUGCUGUAACUUUACACUCUAUUAAGCUCUGUUGUUAAAUACCUCUGUCUCAAGACGCUAAGAGACAAAGAAAGAAGGAAAGAAAUAAAGAAACCCUCCAUGAGCAAUUUUACUUCUGAAGAAAUCCAGAAGGACACAAUAAAAGCCAAAGCAAUUGUUCUUCCUCCAUGAGCUCAUCAUUACACCCCACAGCUGUCAAACAGCCCUCACAGCCUGCUGCCUGCCUGGGGUUACCACCUGUACAGACACAGGUAUCCAGCCCAGAGACUGCAGGAAAACUCCCUAGACUAAACUCCCUAGACUAAACUCCCCUCUUGCCAGAGGUGAUCCCUGUGAAGAGUAAGGGCAGCUCUGGGGCAGAGUUUGUGCUUUUCUUGAGUUGCAGCUACUUGUAUUUAUUUUCAAAGAAAAUUUAUUUCAAAGAAAAUCACAAAUGUCAGAUAUUGCAUAAAUCCUGAGUCCCCCUGCUUCGCUGCAGCUUCUGCUCCAGCCUCCAGGCCACUCAGACCGCAACUUGGCACCACAAUUAAAGUAACACCUCAUUUUGAUUUUUCUAAAUUAAUCAUUAUUUUUAGAUGUUUCCAACCAAUUGCCAGAACUGUAUUUCUGCCUGACCCUCAUCCCUAAGGUUUCCUGUUUGUUGUUGCUUCCAUUUUGCAGACAGCAUAAGUGGCAGAGUGCUAUUGCUCUUGAAAAGGAUGUUUUUACAUAUGGCUCUGCCCCAAACACCUGGAAGUACUUGCAGCCCUGGAAAGAAAGCCCAAACACUGGGUGGCCUGGGAAAGCCAAAUGUCAUUUCAAGUUUUGCAAAUGCUUCCUGUCAUGGCUCUUGGACCAGGCCAAAGCCCUGGACUGAGCCAUCCCUAGGGUUAGGAAAGACAAAAUUCAAACCCAGGAUGAAACCUGGAACCUCAAGUCCCUCUUGCAACAUCCUGAUGUUUCUGGCACACCGCUGGCUGGCACACCUUGGCACAAGCUGCCGCUGUUUUUCUGUGCUGCACAACAUCAGGAAACACUUUCAAUUUGUCUGCAAGUGCAGCACAGUGCAUUACUGUCACAUGCCAUAUGUCCCAGGCCCUGCAGCGAAGGGCGUUCAGCACAGUCAGCAAGCACAGCAGCCCCCUCCAGCUGGGAGACAGCCAGAAUCCCAGGGCUCAAUGAGAAGCCUGAAGGAAAGGGGCUCAACCCAGUACCCUCAGGGCAGCAGCAGUAACAUCAAUCCCAGGAGAGAACCCUGCAUCUCCCUGUCUCACCAGCACAGUUGUUACAAAAGCACCGAGGGAUGGCUGGAGCUGCACUGCUCUCUUUUUCUCAGGACAGACGUGGCAGACCAGUGUGGACACCGGUUUGUUUUGACUCCACUGUGAGCCGGUUGGAUGCACGAUAGCUCCAGACUAUGCAGGAUCAAAGAAAAACAGGGCUGGAAAGGCCCCACGGGGGUCAUUUACUCUAGUCCCUCAUCCCCAAGGCAGGAUCAAUUUUCCCUCCCUCAUUCUUGGCAGAAUGAAUAGUAGAGAAGAAGAAAGAAAUCAAACUUCAGGGAACUGAGGUAAACUAAGUAUAACUACAAAAGUGUAGUCUGAACAGCAAUAAGGCUGAAUGCACUUAUUCUAGAAAACGGUGCCACAAAAACAGCGUCAGGAACUUGACUAUUCUUUUCUAAAAUAAAUAAACAAAUCUGGAAGCUUUAAAAUCCAGGCUAGGGGUUGAGAAUUAUGUCGUAAUCCUUAGUCACCUACAUAGUCAACCAAUGUGGAAACACAUCAUAUCACAUCCUAAUAAGCACUAUGCAAAUAUUUUUGUAAUCUAGUGCUAAUGAUACCAAAUAUUAUUAAUAUGUCAUUUGGCAUACUAUUGUAAAAAUUACAUUUAACUAUGUAUUAACUGGAGUUGUAGCAAAUGAUGCAUUUAGCUAAUUGUAUGCAAUUAAAUGAGAAUUAAAACCAGGAUGUUUCAUAAUCUUCUUUGCUUUUCACUAAAAAUCUAAGCAGGGAAUUCAACAAAUGAAAGCUGCUGGAAAAUCACGUGCAGCAUCAAGCACUGGAAGAUUAAUAUAAUACAAGGCAUCAUAUGUUGUUCAUCUAAGUUUAUUAAAAACAACACCAAGUCUAAAUCUUUGCACAUUUCAUACCGAGCUAAACUUAACUCCUUUUUCCCCCCGAUUUUUCCUUCUGUCUAUUAUAUCCCCCAGGCUUAGAUCUGUUGUAUCAUUAUAUCCAGGGCGGGGGGGGAAAUCAUGUCUAUGAUGAAAUGCCCGUGUCUGGACUGUGGAGGGAAUGCAGAUCCAGCACUGCACUUCAUCUUGAAUAACCUAUAGCAUGCACGUGUGCACCUUGCACUUUUGUCAAUAACUGGUAAUGCACAUAGGCGAAAGUACAAGUGUUACAAACUGCAGCAUGCUUUGUGUUGGGAGUCUACUCUUUGCUGCCCAGUUAACUGGCUACACAGUUUGUGUAAAUAUUUAAUGCCUGGAUGGGGUCAUGCUUUCAGAGAGAAGGACUGGGAACUCACCCUGUGGCUGAUCCUUUUUUGUAGUUAGUUUAUUUCAAGGAUUUUUCUGUGGGUAUUGCUCAAACUUUGUAAACUUUGUGCUGUUCUUGCAGUACUUGUAACUCAGUAACAAAGACUUGUGCAUACAAAUUCGGCCAAUAGGGAUACAAAGGAUCGUUUAUCUGCACGUGUAAACAAAAGAUGAAACCAUUUGCUUCUGCAGCACUAUUACCUUAAUUUUCUCUGUUGUUCCGGGAAAUGUGCAGACCCCUUCAAAUGCAGGGAUGUCCACCUGGCCCUACUUCUGGAAGUUGGUCUUUUCACUCACCUUCUCUCCCUCCCCGGGCAGCCCUGCCCUGCCUCCUGCUGCAUCACAAGUGGUAUCAGUGCCCACUACAAAGGCAGCUGGAUCAGCCCUGCCCACCACACAGCUCAGGCUGCGUAGUUUCAGCGUUUAGCUUUAGCAACACAUCGGGACAUGUUUCCUGAUGACUCCAGCUGCCGUUUCUACUAUUUCACUUAGGCAUCCAUACCAGUGGAAAGCUCUCAUUUUGUAACUUUUGUAUGGACGUCGCUCUCUCCAUCUACAGAGAUGGAAAGAUCUGCAGAGAUACACAGUUUGCUGGUGUUUGAUAACCCACUGCCUGCAUCCAGGGAUUUCUCCUCAGACCUAAGGAGCAGCAGAGACAAGUGAGCUGCUUGUCUGCUUGUAAAUCCUUAUUUCCAGACCAAACUCACUGAUGACUUUUUCCCUGUCUGUUCUUGCUACCUGCCAGAGGAAUGGCGUGUGAUGGGGAGGUGGGAUGGACAGGCUUUUUACAGCAGGAACUUGCAGAGGAGUCCUCCUUCUAUCCCUGCCUCCAUCCAUGUCUACCAAAGCAGGGGGCACAAGUCUCUCUCCGUGGGAAUCCAAGGUGACAGGAAGUAAAUAAGCAUGGGGACCAAUGUUCUGUCAGAUUUUGACCCAAACUACAGGGAAAGCUUGAGGAUCCCUCAUUUUAACUCAUUGACUGUUAAACAUUUAUUCAGAUACCAGGAACCUGCAUCUGGAUUUAGAUGCUUGUAGACUAGUAGGCAUAUCAAAUAAUGAAAAUUAAGGAUCAGAUUGCCUAUCUAAACAGAGAAACUUUGCUUUCAUGUCCCAUUGCAGUUGUCAUCCAGGACCUGCUGGAGCCAGGGGAAGCUCCCAUUUGCCAUGCUGGUGCUGGCUGGGGUCCUGCUCUAAGCACCUCCUGUCAUCUCCCGCCUCACUGGUGUGUUCUUCAACAUCCUUCCACCCAACAGUGGCAACUCAAUGAAGCACUGCUACAAUUUAAAUAGUUAUUUGCAUUUCAUUAACAAUGACAACAUUUAUUUUAAUACAGUUAAAUCAGAGUAGCAUUUAAUUUAAUUUUAACAAGAUAGUUAUUAAGCUAACCAAAUAUCAAUUGAUUGCUGAAGAAACCACAUUGUGAAACAAAUAAGUUGAGAAAUAAAUCUUGUUGCCAGGUCAUUAAUGUAAAAUCACAUAAAUAAUUAGGUUCUCUCUAAUGAAGAACUCCAACUGUUCCCUGACAUUCUCUGGGAGGGCUGCUGCCUUCUCUCCCCUGCUGUUAGGGGAGAGGGGCCUGAUCCAAGUGCUCAGAGAGCUGUACACACUGACCCAGGUUGGGCAGCAGGGUUUAAAGGGGAGCUCACCCUCCCCCUGUGCUGCCUAGUUGGGACAGCCUUGCCUUGAACCCCCUCCAGGUGCUCAGAGACCUGAAGCACCUCAUUCAGGCUUGGUGGGAAUCCAAAAGUCAGGGAGCAAGGAUACACCACCAUGAGCUCUUUCUGUCAACACCACUGGGUUGUAGGGUGUGAGGGUCAUUCCCCUAACAAGUGCUACAUCUUAACACUGUCCUUCUCAGCACCAACCGUUUACCACUUUUCCCUGCAAAUUAGCAUCUGGAAUACCAAAACCGGUCUGUUACAGCAGACACAAACAUUUCCUUUUCUAGCAUUGCUAAGGACUUGCGAUUUUCAUCCAUCUGUAUGUGUGGAUAUCACUUUCAAGGGGGUUAUUUGUUUGCUUAUUUAAACACAGAUCGCUUAGGGAGAUCUUUUUCUGACCAUCUGCUCUGUCCAGCUGCACAGAACAGACCAAAAACCCUCACUCAGGCAACUAUGAAUCAAGUCUGCAAGCUCUUCUUAAAGCAUAUCAUAGUACAUGCAGGCUUGAUUUAAAGCCUUCGAGUGAAGGAAAAUCCACUGAAUCCCUACAUAAGUUGCUCCAAUGGUUAACUAAGCCCAGUGUGAAAAAUAUACACCUUUAUUGAGCCCGAAUUUGUCUAGCUGUAAUGUUUUUUCACUGUCUCUUCUCAUGCCUUCUUCAGCAAUCUUUCUCCUGGAGGCUAAAGCAGAGCCUGCCAUUGGAGAGGGCAGGGUCUAUUCUCUCUACCAGCAUAAUUUUUGGAGGGACACCAGAGCGAUUUCAAGUUAAAAGGGUCAGAAAGGCAGAUUACAAAAAUGAAAAUGAGACCUCCAGUAGAAAUUUCCUUUUUUUAAAAAUAACAAUAACCUCACAUACCACUCACCCUUAAAAAAAGUACCAGAAAAUAAGACUACACAGAACCCAUGCCCUCAGAUAACCCACAUAAAGUGCACUUCCCCCAGAAUUUCCCAUACAGGCACACAAGUGCCCUUUCAACUGGAGGAGAGGGAAUUGUGCUCUGCUUGGUUUGGUUUAUGGAUGGCCAACGGGCUGUGUGUAUUAAGAUCCAGUGGGUGCCCAGCGAGACGCCGCUGUCUCUGCCAGAGCUGUUGAAGCCCCCUGAGAGCUCCUCUGCCAGAGUCACACUGGGAAGUUGGCACCAAAGGACUGCCACCUCCCGUGGACGGGCACUGGGGAUGAGGGGUGGGAAGGGACGUGGGGAAGUUUGGCCCCAUGUACACACGUCCCCUUGCUUCCUCCAACCCCCAGGGGAGCUCUUCCGUGUGAACUGCAAUUCAAAAUAAACCUGGAUGGAUCAGUCAUGCCCAAUAGAUAACCCGGGGCCUGCAGGACUGAGCUCUUGCAGUAACUGUGGCUCAGUUCACAUGGAGGCAAGAGGGCUCACACAGCUGCAGGCACAUUUCUGCUGAGGUGAGACAGCCUGUCCAGGGGAUCAGGCACUGGUACAGGCCAAUCCUGCACAAUUCUGCUGGACCGUGCUGAGGCAAGGAAGCCACCGGAGUCUAUGACAGCAGUGUCCUACCUCCACAAGACCCUGCCACGUGGUGUCCAGCACCAAAUCCAACCCUCUCCACUGCCUGUUUCCACGCUGCCUGCUCACACACAGGCAGCAGGCCUCGAGCAGAGGCUGAAGCACAGCACAUACGGCCCUAAUCACAAUAAAAGUGGUGACCUGGAUUUGUCAGUGUUAUGUUACACAGAUCAGAAGCUGUGAUUUUUAAGAAGGAAGCAGGUGUUUUGGAAUACGAUCUAUUUUUCCAGCAGGCUAUGAUAAGUAGUUUUCAGCUAAUUAUUUUGUGCCAAACCAUAAGGAAAUCAUCUCCAAAGUGGACUUCUCAGCUUGGAAGAUGCUCAAGAUUUUACACCAAAUUUUAGACUCGACAGUGAACAUAGAGCAGAAUGGGUGUUGGCAGCAAGGGAUUCAUCCUGCCUCAGCUGAAUCCCUGAACACAAGGCCAAACAGUUUGUAGCCAUUGUAAGGUAAAGCAGACUUUUUCUUGCAUCUUUUCAUUGCUGUUUUCCAAAUAAAGCAACUUAAACAGAUCUGGGAAGAAAACUAAGCAACUUACAGAAAAAAAUAGCUGCUGAGCAAAAACCAGGAAUAUGUGAGGGGCCUUGUGCUACAGAACAUGGAGACUGAUUGAAAUAGCCAAGGGAUGCACAUGUGCACAGAGGCUAUUGCUGGCUGGGGAGAAAAGGUUGUCAGCCACAGAGCCAAAAAACACACAGCAAUCCCUUCACAGUCAGAAGAUGCUUCUUCUGUGAGGCCACAGAUGCUGAUCACUCUCAAAGCGACCAGCAUGCAAAAAGUUAAAGUAGUUACACUGAAAGGGCAGAGAGUCUGCAGCGCAAAUACUGCACAUCCAUCACUCACAAAAGAGUAAAUUAUUAACUCCUAAUUAGCUGCCACUCCCAUCCCACUUUGGGCUUGGAAAGGACAGAGCGACCACACGUGGAGCUUUAACAAUGCAGUCUCCUCCCCACAUGACUAAGCAGGACCGUACCAACACCACCCAUCCACCAGCUCUUUUGGUCGUGGCAGAGGAAAACUCACUUCCUCUGUUGCCGUGUGAUAAACCCCCAAAGGAAACAUUUUCUUCCUGUAAGUGACAGUGUUUUGAGAAAACACCCACGAAUCCCUCCCCAGGCCUCUGUGACAAGCUCCUGCCAAUGCCUGCCAGCACAGGAGCACCUGUGAGGGCUCACGCCACCCCUCGUGCUUGUGGUUAUGUGGUGACAGCCAUGAAGAGCCACCAUCAGCACACAAGAACCGUUUUCUUUCUUGCAAGGAAACAACAAAAAAGAAGCUUGAGUUGAUGGUAAUAGGACUCUUGGUGUAAUCCCCUCUCAUCUCAUCUGCUCCACCUAACUUCCCUGUGCUCCUCUGCCAUCUGAGCAGUGCUAUCACCUAUUUAUGACCCAGGAGCACUGUGCCAGGCAGGGUCUCAUGGAAAGCAGGAGGGUCUAUCCGCUCCCUCCAUCUCUGAUGCAGGCCCGUCUCAUCUUCCAGCCCCGGGAUGUGUAGCAGCCAUCUCCAAGGGGACAGGCAAUGUCCUGAUCCAGGCACAGACCCUUGGCCUGGGCAGGCAACACACUCUGCCCUGGUGCACACUGGGAGCCAGGUCCAGGUUUUUAGGAGCAGUCAUUGCUCACUAAAGUUGCAUUAAAUGCUGCCAAUAACCACAUUACCAUCUAAUAAUUGAUGAUUAAUGCUAUAAGUUGAGGGCACCACAUCACAACUUAGAAAUUAUCUUCUUUCCUGUAAAGCUCUUUGCCUUUACAGGACUUGCUAAAACUUGCUUGGUACAGCAUUUCAGUUUCCAGGUACAAACAAUUUGGAAAAGAAAGGGGGAAAGUAAAGCAAAGCACAGCAAACAUACAACAACAUUGUUGUGAGCUCAGAUGAUGUUAAAUGAAUUAAUUCGAUUAAUUCUUAAACUUAGCUGGCAAGCUUUAAUGGUUCACAUUGAAAGCAUGAAUAACUAUUUUGUUCUGUGAAUGACUAUAGUUUAGUGACUCUUGAUGUCAGUGUAUUUUGCCCAGGGUUAAACUUGCUAUAUGAAUUAUUCACUGCUGGGUGAAUGAAAUGAACGGGGUUGUGCUCAUAGACAGGAUGCCAACUGUGGUUAUUUGACGUGAUGGGGCACACCCGAUGCUGACAAAGGACAAUAGUUAAUUUACAAUGUGGUACUGGGGCUCAGUCUUUCUCCUUAAGAUCUUUAUAGAAAGCAUGGCGCUUUUUGUUAUGUACUCCACAUUAAGAUGGAUUCCGUGUGCCAAAAAACACUGAAGCAUAGCUCACUUUUAAAAAUGUUCAGUAGUUUAAAGACAAAAAAAAAAAAUCACCUACCUUCCUGUCUCGUUUGGCUGAAACAUUGCUCCAAAGAAAAUGUGUUUAAGAGCAACUUAAAAACAAAUGAAGGAACACAUCUAUCUAUCACUUCAGCAUCUUGUCAUAGAUGCAGUAGUUGAUAGCUGCUAGGACCUCUCCGUGAUGGGAAAGGAUCUGCCAGCCUCUCACAGAAUGAGGUCUCAGACUGGGAACAAUCGAGCUUUUACCUAAGCUUUUACUUCCAAAGCCGAGAGAGAGAAGCGACUGAGCAGUUUCUGCGCUGUACUAUUUACAGUGAGCAAUUGGAGCAGGACAUUUUCCCAGCCUUCUUAAGAACCUGUUGCUUUAAUACAAGACAUUUGUAAUCUGGAAAGACAGGAUGCAAUUCAGCUUGAUCUGAUAAAUGGGCUGCAAAAGUUUACUUAUGCAUACUAAUGAUACAUUCAUCUUCACUUUACACUUCUCAGCUGUAUGCUUAUUGCAAACAUCUGUGUUGCUGAAAUGACUGGCAUUACAACUCAUUUAUAUGGUUUAAAACUAGUGAUAGACGAAAGCUGGGAGGAAGGGGAGGGGUGAGAGGUGCUUUUUCCUCCCAAAUUUCAAAAAUACUUAGUUUUGUCUUCGAGCAUGUUUCUGUGAAUGGGCUGAAUUGACGCCCUGGUGUGUACGGAAAUAACUUCAUGGAUAACUUCCAAACCACCAACAUGGCACAAACUUUGUGUGCAUCAGUACUGCACUGAUAAUACACUUAGUACUUAGAAAAAAGACCAAAAGUAGGAUGGCUAAAAGGCAGCUUGGAUUUUCCCUCCACAUCACACACUUUCCACCACCCAGUCACAGGAGAGGCCACUACUCCAUAGACCAGCAGCUCCCUGGCCAUGCUUAGAGCACCAGUAAAGCAGCUCAAUUCCUAAUGCCAUUCCCAAUUCAAGUAUUUUCUUACCUUGUGCAAAAAUGGUACACUUUCUUUCAAAUGACAGUACACUGCAGACUGUGCCUACCUCUGAAAUGAGCCUGCCUGGAUUUGUCUUGUUUUCUUCACCCCCCCUAAGGCUAGAUGAUUUGGCAUAAAUCCUGCCUGAAACACGCUUGCAUGGUUAAAAGUGGAAUGGGAUAUUUCUCCUUGGCUUCCAGAUCUGUCAGAUAUUGCAUGUAUUUGCUUUUUGACCAGAUGGCACUUCUGCUUUGUAGCUGCACAUGAAGUAUUAAAUUUCUGCGCUUACGUUUGGCAGGUGUUUGGCAUCCCCGUGACAUCCCUGGGGAUCCUGGAUACAGGGAAGAAGGAAAAACAGCUGACAAAGAAUGAAGAGUAAAUCAACAAAAACAAUUGCAAAGUGAAAAAGGCCAGCUCAUUUCCCUGAUUAAUUCUGGUCUCUGCAGUCACCAAAAAAGGGCUGGACAGUGCAGCAAAGCAGGAUGUGCUCAGAGGAACAUCUUAAUGAAAUUCUGUCUCACUGCCAUCUUCUCACAGGGAUGCUCUGCACACAUGGCCCACUUGUCAAACAGUUGGACAAGGGCCGUGUGUCGUGGCAUUUAUGGAACGGCACAGCCUGAGGAUGCAUGGGGAGAACCAACUCCUUCUUAGCCCUUUCAAAAAGAAGAGCCUGUGUCACCAUGGAACCUACAACAGAGAAGCUAUUAACCUGAGGUAUGCUUUCCAACCCCUGCUAUGUUAUGUUCGGGGCUGACUGCUGCAGACUGAAGAAUACUUCCUAAUUUUUUUCUCUUUCUGUAAAGUCGGAAUGUUUAUUUUGCCGAGACAUCUAUCCAAUUUCAGGUAAUUUCAUGUCUGGAAAGUCUACAUAAGUAGCCGUGUGCUGGGGUUUGGAAGUUGUUAACUCACUUGUCUACCAUUGGUUUCUGUGUUGCCAUAGUUAUUAUAUUGUCUCCUUGCAUUGGCUAGCAAAUGGCCAAUCCCCUCUUUGGCCCAGCAGCCCUUAUAAGCUGCGGGAAAUUUGAAUAAAGUCUUCUUUGCUGCUGGA
This is a long non-coding RNA of Pseudopipra pipra, 13657 nucleotides long. RefSeq lists it as uncharacterized. Lineage: Eukaryota; Metazoa; Chordata; Aves; Passeriformes; Pipridae. The record is from RefSeq and is a predicted model, not a curated record. The transcript is spliced from 2 exons.